CUAAGGAAUAAUACGGAGGCUACACAUACUGUUGAAACAAAGUUCAGUUUUGAGGGGCUUACCGGUCAUCAUUAUGAUCAAUUAUUUUCCUUUAUUUAUUACAAUAAAUAAACCGAGAAACCACUGCGUAUUUUUGAGUUUUUAACGAAAUAAUCGCUAAUACUCAAUUAAUAAGGUGAUCACGAAGUGACCGUCA
RNAcentral lists this ribosomal RNA (196 nucleotides) under Companilactobacillus mindensis. RNAcentral's name for it is "Lactobacillus mindensis 16S-23S ribosomal RNA small intergenic spacer". Lineage: Bacteria; Bacillati; Bacillota; Bacilli; Lactobacillales; Lactobacillaceae. The record is from RNAcentral.